GACGAACGCUGGCGGCGUGCUUAACACAUGCAAGUCGAACGCUGAAGCUCAGCUUGCUGGGUGGAUGAGUGGCGAACGGGUGAGUAACACGUGAGUAACCUGCCCCCUUCUUUGGGAUAACGCCCGGAAACGGGUGCUAAUACUGGAUAUUCACUGAUCUUCGCAUGGGGGUUGGUGGAAAGGUUUUUUCUGGUGGGGGAUGGGCUCGCGGCCUAUCAGCUUGUUGGUGGGGUGAUGGCCUACCAAGGCUUUGACGGGUAGCCGGCCUGAGAGGGUGACCGGUCACAUUGGGACUGAGAUACGGCCCAGAGUCGUACGGGAGGCAGCAGUGGGGAAUAUUGCACAAUGGGCGAAAGCCUGAUGCAGCGACGCCGCGUGAGGGAUGGAGGCCUUCGGGUUGUAAACCUCUUUCGCUCAUGGUCAAGCCGCAACAUUGGUUGUGGUGAGGGUAGUGGGUAAAGAAGCGCCGGCUAACUACGUG
This 481-nucleotide ribosomal RNA is filed under the name uncultured bacterium. Its description in RNAcentral is "partial 16S ribosomal RNA". It matches the Rfam family "Bacterial small subunit ribosomal RNA", at positions 28 to 507 of the family's 1533-position model. The record is from RNAcentral.